Ipomoea nil (Japanese morning glory) is the source of this 1584-nucleotide long non-coding RNA. RefSeq lists it as uncharacterized. The record is from RefSeq and is a predicted model, not a curated record. NCBI's taxonomy places the organism in Eukaryota, Viridiplantae, Streptophyta, Magnoliopsida, Solanales, Convolvulaceae. The transcript has 5 exons.
AGAAUUUUCUAGCUUAUUAAAUGACAACAGAAUUUUAUAAUGUUCUUGCUUUUUCUUUGAAAAUGUUUAUAUCAUUUAAUUUGACUGGUUGGUCAUGCACUCCACAAAAAAUAUGACUCUAUUAAGGAACUACUAAUUGCAGGGCUCAUUCUCCCUCCUACAAACUUCCUGCUGAUGGAUGAUGUUUUGAGGGGCGGGCUGUCGAGACACUAAUGGUGGUAAUGAUGUGUCACAGUCUCACAGAUUGAGUAGCAUUAUGGCUAACGAACACGCUAUUAAUUAGCUUGAUCACAGGGUGGAAUAUGAUCUGAGUGUUAGAAGCCAGUACAAUCAAGGCUUGUGAUUCAUCCACUGACUGCUCCUGUACUCAGCCCGGAAAUGACCAUAAUGAGAGUUUUGCACGCAGCUUUCAAAAUUUGCUUGAUCAAAGCAGAUUCUAACCUCGACGAGGUACUUUGCUGUGCAUUGAAUUUUGACAUCCACAUUUAAAGCACGACGGAUUGCUUUAAGAAUCUGGGUAUCAUUGUACUGGUGACCGCGAGCAAUUCCACCAUUUUGUAAAACACGCGCGAUAUUGUUCCUGUGCAACAGAUCCAGUGCUUUAGCGAAGUAUUGAGUUUGAUUGAAGAGGGUAAAGGAAGCCCUGCCAUGGUUAUUCCACUCGUGUGCCCAAAAACCAUCAUCAGGCCCAAGCGUUGCUCCGGAGUUGACAAAUGGCCAUAGACCAUGGAUGGUGAAAUCGGAUUUCACCUUACUCACUACGCAACGGGUACCAAGGGAAGCACAAUAGCCUGGGGGCCAUAUGAGUGCCAAACCAAAGCCAUCCCAUUGGUUUUUUUGGUAACUCUUGGUUACAAGUAAAAAGAAAAUAAGUAAACUUAAAGUAAUUUUCAUUGUGUGUAUGUCUUCUAAUUUGCAGACUGAUGAGAUGUGCUGUGUGUAAUGCUAAGCAAGCUCAAGUAUUAUGUGUGCGUUUAUAUAGGCUAUAAGCCACUGCCUGUCAUUUUCUUAGUUGUUAAUUAUUUCCUAUAAAUGAAUGAAUUUGUUUGUUUUACUCCACUGUAAUGUCAUUCUACAUCAGGUAGCUCUAACUGAAUUUGUUUUACUUCAUUCUCAUUUGACUGCAUUUGUUUUUAUUCAUUGAGAUUAUUUUGCUUUGCUCUGGUGGAUCACAGGGUGGAAUGUGAAGUGUUAGAAGCACAUGUUAUUCAUCCAUUGACUGAUCCUAUACUCAGCUCAUGAUCGGGAAUGAAGUGACCAUAAUGAAAGCUCGUUACGUUUUUGGAGCUGACUGACUAGUGACUAGUUAGUAUGCAACAAGACUGUACCCCUUGGCUGGCUCGCAUAGUACUAACUACUAAAUUCAAAGCCCGGUUAAAUUCAAAGCCCUUAGCUUGCCCUCCGGCCUGCUCCUAUUACUGCAUUCAAUUGAGACAUUAAAAUUAGUUUGACAGUUGGGAUGGGAAACUUUUGCCAAACUUGUCCUCCUGCAAAUUGAGGUUGCAUGUCAGAAACUUUGCCAAACUUUUCCGUAUUUGUACUAUUAAUUAUUGUAGUUUAAUUUUAAUGCUAAUUUUAUGUUCA